AGAAUCAACGCUGGCGGCGUGCCUAACACAUGCAAGUCGAACGAGAAAGUGGUAGCAAUACCAUGAGUAAAGUGGCGCACGGGUGAGUAACACGUCGACUAACCUACCCUUGAGUGGGGGAUAACUGAGGGAAACCUAGCUAAUACCGCAUAAUACCCACGGGUCAAAGGAGCAAUUCGCUCGAGGAGGGGGUCGCGGCCGAUUAGUUAGUUGGCAGGGUAAUGGCCUACCAAGACGAUGAUCGGUA
This 247-nucleotide ribosomal RNA is filed under the name uncultured bacterium. Its description in RNAcentral is "partial small subunit ribosomal RNA". It matches the Rfam family "Bacterial small subunit ribosomal RNA", at positions 26 to 285 of the family's 1533-position model. The record is from RNAcentral.